This 253-nucleotide ribosomal RNA is filed under the name uncultured bacterium. Its description in RNAcentral is "partial 16S ribosomal RNA". It matches the Rfam family "Bacterial small subunit ribosomal RNA", at positions 524 to 776 of the family's 1533-position model. The record is from RNAcentral.
UACAGAGGGGGCAAGCGUUGUUCGGAAUUACUGGGCGUAAAGGGCGCGUAGGCGGCCAACUAAGUCGGACGUGAAAUCCCCGGGCUCAACCCGGGAACUGCGUCCGAUACUGGAUGGCUUGAAUCCGGGAGAGGGAUGUGGAAUUCCAGGUGUAGCGGUGAAAUGUGUAGAGAUCGGGAGGAACACCGGUGGCGAAGGCGGGUCUCUGGGCAAUUCCUGACGCUGAGGCGCGAAAGCGUGGGGAGCAAACGGG